GGAAGGUUUAAUGGAAGAAAGAAUGAGUGGUUGAAUGGAAGAGAUAAUAAAAGAGAAAAUAAGAGAAAAGAAAGAAGAGUUGAAAAAUAAUAUUAGGAAAAAGAGCAAGUUGAUGAGGGUUUUUAAGUUGAUGAGGAUAGACUAUCAAUAAUCAAUGAGAGGCGAUUUAGGUCUAUAGAUGAAGGUGGAAGAAGAAGGAUUGAACAAGGCAUAUGAAAGUCUGGAAGUAGUAUAAGUUUGGUUCCUCAUAAUUCAUGGAAACCUAAUUGGGGAAAAGGAGAAAGAUGAAAAAUUUAUCGCUAAGGUUAAG
Molecule: unclassified non-coding RNA, 310 nt
Filed under: Hevea brasiliensis (rubber tree)
Lineage: Eukaryota; Viridiplantae; Streptophyta; Magnoliopsida; Malpighiales; Euphorbiaceae
Source: RNAcentral